UCAUGGCUCAGGAUGAACGCUAGCGGCAGGCUUAACACAUGCAAGUCGAGGGGCAGCGCGGGGCAGCAAUGUUCUGGCGGCGACCGGCGGAAGGGUGCGUAACGCGUGAGCGACAUGCCCGUUGCCCGGGGACAACCGGUGGAAACGCCGACUAAUCCCCGAUGGGACGGAGGCCCUCAUGGGUCUCCGUUGAAGGUUACGGCGGCGACGGAUUGGCUCGCGUCCGAUUAGCUUGUUGGCGGGGUAACGGCCCACCAAGGCUACGAUCGGUAGGGGUUCUGAGAGGAAGGUCCCCCACAAUGGAACUGAGACACGGUCCAUACUCCUACGGGAGGCAGCAGUGAGGAAUAUUGGUCAAUGGGCGGAAGCCUGAACCAGCCAUGCCGCGUGCGGGAAGGAGGCCCUAUGGGCUGUGAACCGCUUUUGCCUGGGGGCAAUAAGGGCGUCGUGCACGUCCGAUGAGAGUACCAGGCGAAUAAGCAUCGGCUAACUCCGUGCCAGCAGCCGCGGUAAUACGGGGGAUGCGAGCGUUAUCCGGAUUCAUUGGGUUUAAAGGGUGCGUAGGCUGUGCGUCAAGUCAGGGGUGAAAUUCCGGGGCUCAACUCCGGGGCUGCCCUUGAUACUGUCGCGCUGGAGUGCGGAUGCCGCCGGAGGAAUGAGUGGUGUAGCGGUGAAAUGCUUAGAUAUCACUCAGAACACCGAUUGCGAAGGCAUCUGGCGAAUCCGUAACUGACGCUGAGGCACGAAAGCGUGGGGAUAGAACAGGAUUAGAUACCCUGGUAUUCCACGCCGUAAACGAUGAUGGCUAACCGCCGGCGACACACUGUCGGUGG
Molecule: ribosomal RNA, 833 nt
Filed under: uncultured Bacillota bacterium
Lineage: Bacteria; Bacillati; Bacillota
Description: bacterial SSU rRNA
Rfam family: Bacterial small subunit ribosomal RNA
Source: RNAcentral